UACGAAGGGGGCUAGCGUUGCUCGGAAUUACUGGGCGUAAAGCGCACGUAGGCGGCUUCUUAAGUCGGUGGUGAAAUCCUGGGAGCUCAACUCCAGAACUGCCUUCGAUACUGGGAGCUCGAGUCCGGGAGAGGUGAGUGGAACUGCGAGUGUAGAGGUGAAAUUCGUAGAUAUUCGCAAGAACACCAGUGGCGAAGGCGGCUCACUGGCCCGGUACUGACGCUGAGGUGCGAAAGCGUGGGGAGCAAACAGG
RNAcentral lists this ribosomal RNA (253 nucleotides) under uncultured bacterium. RNAcentral describes it as "partial 16S ribosomal RNA". It matches the Rfam family "Bacterial small subunit ribosomal RNA", at positions 524 to 776 of the family's 1533-position model. The record is from RNAcentral.